ACAUGAGCUUUGUAAUAUCAUCACUUUUUUUUGCAUCCCCUCUACGUCGCCAAUUUGCUUUUACAUUGUAAUAAAUUAUUUCAGCUGCAGCUCUUUUUAUAUAAGUCUUCUCCAUAGUUCGUUAAGCUCUUCAUUUUCUUCACAACUAGGUCAUGCCCUAGUUGCUACAAUCACCUCUAAUUCUUUAUUCAUUGACAGUGGUCCAAUUCGUUCCAUUCUCCGUCCAAUUUGUAUCUCGCGGCUGCAUUAGACCAUACGUUCGAAGGAUGUCCAUUUCGAAGUUGGCUAGUAAAUCCUUGGCUACUACUAAAGGAAUUAUGAUGAGCGCUAAAAAUGCAAUCAACAAAAGAAAGAACAUAGUUCCGUAGCGUUGAACGAUCUUCUUACGUAAACGGUUUUGCCGCAUCGAAUAUAUGGGUGGUCGAAUUUGUUUGCUUGGUUUCAACCAAAAAAGCAUCAUCGAAUGCCAUCUAUCUAUAAACGGAAUCAAAAGUACGGGUAACAUCAGAAAUAAAAGUAAAUGACAAAGAAAGAAAUCAGCUGCAAAAAAAUUUAGUUCAGUCAUUUUGCAAAUAAGUUCUCGUGACGGCUGGGACAACGCGUGAAAUCCCAGUCCUCUGGAAUACCAUUUUCCCGUCCACCAUGCCAGGUUCGUUCCAUCGUGCUUCAACUCCCUUGUUAAAAAUAAAACUUGAAUGAUCUUAAAAAAGAAUCGUUGAAUCGCAAUUAUGCACAGCAUACUAAGCACCGUUUUCGCAAGGCACCAAGCCUCUAAAUACCAAGAUACCUCAAAGACGAUAAUAAACAUAAACACAGUAAUACCAUGAGCCAGUGCUGCUAGUACAGCUCCAAAUUUUUUGCAACAAAGAUCUAACAGAGGUCCCAUCAUACAAGCCAUUCCAGCAAAUGUCAUAGAAACUACGGCGGCAACUAUAAUUGGAAGAAAGGCCAAAAUUAAUAUACGAAGAAUCGGAUUGGUAACUUUCGAGGGAUCAGGAUUACCAGGCUGUGAAUCUAUAAAAAAAUAAGAGACAAGUGUCAAAGGAACCAGCAUUAGUGGAAUAAAUAUUUCCGUAAAAAACAUAUUCGUAAAAUGUGCCCUCGAUGUAUCGAUAACACCCUUGCUAACUGGAACCCCAAGCAGUCGUCUUUUGUAACCUGUUAUUCGAGUUCGGGUUAAACGACAAUAGCCUAUCCAUGAGUUUAUAUGAGAACGUGAAUUACCCCUUGAAAGCCAUCGAAUGAAUUCGCGGUAAUCAACAAAGAAGUCAGUCCACGAAAAUUGAUGUGGAUUAAAUAUAAAGGGACUGAUGCACAUGGCUAGCGUAGAUAUCCAAAAAUAUAUCAAGUGAGGUAUCCAGACGGUCAUUGUUCCAAACAACAGCAUCAACAACGUCCGUGACCCAAGGUAUAUAGAAGGACCCGCAAACCUCGAAAACAAUAACGAAAAAGAAAGCCUUGCUGUAGCAAAUCCUCUGCCCGUUCCAAUAUACCGUGCACCACCAAAUGAAAGAUUAGCAAUUACCGACUGUGCAUAUGUUUGGCAAGCGAAUACUUCAAACAUAGGGGAAAACGAUGCAAAGUGCUUCCCUAAACGAGUUAGGGCACGCCAUGCACCUCUUUCAGUCAAUUCCUGAACUGUCAAUGGAACAAAUGAGAUGAAAAAAACAAUGAAAAUAGAUAUAAUGCAUCUCUUCAACCAAUUUACUACUGGAUUAAGUUGAUAACAUCCUUCUGGCCUCAUUGGAACAGUAAGCUUUUGAUCAUGAUCGUAAUCGCAAACUGUUACCACAUGAUACAUUCCUCCGAGAUUCACCAAAACAACCAUGAAUAGUUGAACGGAUAGCAUGAUGAAAAUAUUGUUAAUAUGAAAACCAGGAUGUGCGUAAUAGAAGGAUAAAAAUCUGUCAAAUGGUAGUUGAGUUCCUAAGUAAUAAUAUUCACGAGACACCAUCUGCUCUCCCAUACCAGUACCAAUUUUUGUAGUGAAAUUGAGAAUUGAGCCAAAACCUAAAUCGCGACCCUUUCCGCAUUGGUAAUACUCACAAUGCUUAAUUCGUCCGCCUCUCUGAAGAGCAGUCAUUCCAGCAUAUAUGUCUUCGUUCACAUGUAAACCUUUUUGUGCUUUGGAGACACCGCCACGUGUUGUCAUGUAAAUGGCAUUUAAAAAAUCAGGGUGCCCAUAAUGCAACUUACCACCGAUUUGAGCCAUCGUUCUUGCAAAUAAUGUUCCAAAUGUUUGUUCUUUACCAGCAGCAACAUCUCCCAAAAUUCCUAUAUUUUCAGAAAAUAUAUACUCUCUUGCACCCAUGAUAGCAACUGGAUUAUUCUGGUAAAGUGCAUUAGUUUCAGCAUAGGGGUCAUUUGUUUUUAAAUCAAAAGCUUCAAAUUCAGCCAAAAUACUUCUUAUUUUUAAACACUCCUCCAAAUAAUUAUCCUGGUUGGCAUCAAUCAGUUGAAUAUAUUCACCUCUGUAAAAAGGAAGAGAUAAAUUUUGGUUAUCAGACUUACCGUCACCGAGGAUUGGAUUUCCAGAGAGUUUGAUGCGGUAUUUAGGUUUUCGUUUCUUAUUUUCAUCUAAUUCAGAAUAUCCGUCAAUCAGUGCUGCAUACAAUUGAGGUGUUGUUUCACCCUCCUUUGGAGGAUCUUCGUCUAAAUAGGCGAUCAAUAAAUCAGGGUAUGCACGUAAAAUGAACUCCGUGUUCUCUAUCUCAUCAGCAGUGAACUUUGCGUACCUCUGCAUCGAUACGCACAUUUUAAAUUUCCGAGAUGCCAUUCGAUCUAGUUCAUAUUCGAGAACAUCCAUCUGCCCUUCAAACAAUUGUGCAACAUCGGGAUUUUCAACUCUAUAAAGCAGUUUAAUAGCGCGUGAAUAAUUCAUAAAACCACUAACGGUUCGGUACAAGGUUUGACUCCUUAAUGAAGCCCAAAUUCUAGUACGAAGAGUAUACUCAGGAGUAGCGUUUUUGAAACCUAUACAAUAAAAUGGUAAAUCGUCGAAUUUUUUGUGAAGCUGCUCGGCCUUCAUUGACUCAUCUUGUGAGUUCAAGUCUUGAUUGGAAAGCGCAUCUUCUUCAGCAAGGAUUUUAGUGUCGCGAACGAAACAUUUCCAUUCAUUAGCGUGCAACUGCUUAAGGUACUCAAGUAAAGUAACCCGAGAAAGUUUAUCUUGCUCUCGAAUAAUUUCUUUCAAUGAAAGCAGUAUCUUUUCACCAUAAUGCGGCACCAAUACCGUAAAAGUAGGCAUCGCAUCCACUGGAAUGGGUUCUGGAAUUGGUGUUGCUAAAGAUUGAGCAAAAAACGAAAGUCGCCUUUCGGCCUCCGAAUGAGCAGGGAAAUAUUCGGUAUUAAACGAAGAAUCUUCCUGGGAUACGAAGAAAGUUGGUGUUUUUAAUGUUUUACUUCCAUCCCCAUCAAGAGAAUUAACUUGAUGAUAAAUAAGACGUUGAACAUGUUCAAUGGCCAAUAAAUGCUCUCUAUACAGUGAGAUAAUAAUUGAGUUCCAAAUCUGAGAUACAAGAACUUUAGGCUUAUAACUCGAAUCAACUUCAGGGGUACAAAGAAUUUUGCUGUAAAUUCUUUUUGGCAUCCUAGCAAAAAUAUUUCUCCAAGGUGUCCAUAUUGAAAUUCCCAAGAAAAAUGACCUUGCAACCGAAAAAACUGUGUUGACUAAAAUGUACCAUAAAUACGUGUCGAGGAAAAACAGUACUAGGUCAGUGACAUACAUGAUACCAAGUAGAAUCUUUGGUUGCCAUAUGCAUAGAUGAGAGCCUAGAAACGUUAUAUUGCAUAGAUAGGGCUUCAUUGUACUCAAUACGAGGAUGGGGUCUCGAAAUGACAGGGAAAGGAAAAAGUACGAUUCCGUAAAUUUUGCUCCAAACACCAGCAGCCAAAGUCCCCAUGAUACACACAUAUCGUUUAUUUGGAGACGAGCAUAAUCGGCAGUAAAGUAUCUAUUAGCUAAAUGCGUGCGUGAGGAAGAUUUGUAAGCACGAUGAAACAGAUUGUUUAAAGGCACAAGGGAAAAGUAAAUGAAUGUAAAUACAGAGAAAAUGAAAUGAACAAUUGCGACAGUUAGUCUUCCAGUAGUACGCUGCUGUUCUUCAGUUGAAAAUCCAAAAACAAAAACAGUUGGAGCGACAUUUAAGAUGAAGAACAAAAUGAGAAUUAGGAAGCGUUUUAAUAGAGGCCUAGAUCCUGGAAACUUUCGAGGUACAUGAAUCCAUUCAAAAAUAGUUGCUAAUAGCAUCAACAAAGUUGCAACAGCUCCUCCAAGGGAGACAGAAGUCCAAUGGCAUGACGGAAUUGGUUUAGGACCAACUGAUUGCCGAAAAUUCUUCUCAAUUAUAGUUGGUGAAUUAAAGACUGUGUAGUACCAAUAAGUAGUGAAAUGUAUGACCCAUAUUCGAUUAAAAUUGGUAACUAAAUGAAACCACGAGCGACUCUCAUAAAAAGUUUUAUAAAAAGCCUUU
This is a non-coding RNA of Schizosaccharomyces pombe (fission yeast), 4472 nucleotides long. The record is from the annotation of a GenBank genome assembly. NCBI's taxonomy places the organism in Eukaryota, Fungi, Ascomycota, Schizosaccharomycetes, Schizosaccharomycetales, Schizosaccharomycetaceae.